UAACGGUUGUUGGGGUGGGUAGGGGAGCGUCGUGUGCCGGGUGAAGCAGCCGUGUAAGCGAGUUGUGGACGGUUCACGAGUGAGAAUGCAGGCAUGAGUAGCGAUACAAGAGUGGGAAACUCUUGCGCCGAUUGACUAAGGGUUCCUGGGUCAAGCUGAUCUGCCCAGGGUAAGUCGGGACCUAAGGCGAGGCCGACAGGCGUAGUCGAUGGAUAACCGGUUGAUAUUCCGGUACCCGUGAUGCAGCGACCAACACUGAAUCUUCUGAUGCUAAGGCCGUGAAGCCGCCUUUGAUCCCUUCGGGGUGAUGGGGAGUGGUGGAGCCGCUGAACCAAGGUGGUAGUAGGUGAGUGAUGGGGUGACGCAGGAAGGUAGUCCAUCCCGGGCGGUGGUUGUCCCGGGGUAAGGGUGUAGGACGUCAUGUAGGUAAAUCCGCAUGGCAUAUAAGUCUGAGACCUGAUGCCGAGCCGUUUGUGGUGAAGUGGAUGAUCCUAUGCUGUCGAGAAAAGCCUCUAGCGAUGUUGUGUUGCGGCCCGUACCCUAAACCGACUCAGGUGGUCAGGUAGAGAAUACCGAGGCGUUCGGGUGAACUAUGGUUAAGGAACUCGGCAAAAUGCCCCCGUAACUUCGGGAGAAGGGGGGCCACACCUGGUGAA
This 656-nucleotide ribosomal RNA is filed under the name Streptomyces alkaliterrae. Its description in RNAcentral is "partial 23S ribosomal RNA". It matches the Rfam family "Bacterial large subunit ribosomal RNA", at positions 1211 to 1764 of the family's 2925-position model. Lineage: Bacteria; Bacillati; Actinomycetota; Actinomycetes; Kitasatosporales; Streptomycetaceae. The record is from RNAcentral.